AACACGGGCGCUGCCAUUCGUCUGCAUAGAUGCGGGUCAUUUCCGGCGGAAGGGGUUUCCGCAGCCUUUUACCUGUAUAAACACAGCGGCGUGGACACGGCGUGGACACAAACCUAAACGAAAUACUUGCUGUUCGUGUGUUUUUUCUCUCGACAACUAUGUCUUUGCCAUGGGAACACGGUUCUACGACUUUAACUGGAGGUGGCGUUACUCUCCCGACCCGAAUUCAGUGCAGAACCGGGAUGAUAACGUGAUGACAGCAGCAGAACUGACAGCAGGAUCUGCUCCUACUUCCUGCAAUCCGCAAUGGACAAACUGAAAGUUUCUGAGGUUUAUCAAUAUCUGCACAGAGACAAAGUCGGUUUUGUCAUGUCAUACAAACAUGGUCGUUUUGUUUAUUUGAAAGCAAAUGUCGAACCUGGCCAGUGUUUGAACAAUGCGGGGCUUAAAGCUCGGCUGCUGUAACUGAAGCUGGAGAAGUCAGACCUGCGUCAUGUUCGUGUUGCUGGACCUGGAGAUCGUGUUCCCAUUCAGCUGCGAUCUUAUGGAAGGUAGAAAAUGCUGUGAGACGGGAAAACCGGGCUUGCCUGCACUGACUGACAAGAGCUGGGUCUGAAAGAAAUGCUGAAAAUAAAGAACUUUAUCACAAUACACACACAACAGGAAGGAUCUUUACCAGCCGUCACCAACAGCAUCUUCUACCACUCCAGAACCGGCACAGGAGGUGAAACUCUGUAGGACUCAUGAAGAGUGGAGGAACAGCCCUGGGAAUAUUCUCCUGCAGCUCUGCCUCCCGCCAUCACCAACCAACUUUUCACACAUACUCCCAAAAAUUGAUGAUUUUGUUGAGGGAAGGUUACAGUUCUGCAGUAAAUAUCUCAGCAUUUUAAAACUAAAAUGAAUUAUUUAGGAACCAACAGAUGUUUGUACUGUGAAAAUAAAGUUUGAUGAAACUUAAUUUCAUUUCAUUAUUGCACUGAACUACGAUCAAUGAAUGAUAGGCCUUAUCUUCCUUAAUGUGUUACAAUGUCUUUUAACAGUUCAUCAUUCAUAGUAAGCUCAUACUGUACAUUAAUAAUGGAUGAAUUUUGAGUUUUGAGGAAACUAAACAAAUGGCUUCAACAAGAAAAUUCAUAUGUUUAAUCUUAACAGGAAUAAAAAAAGUAAAA
Molecule: long non-coding RNA, 1169 nt
Organism: Cololabis saira (Pacific saury)
Lineage: Eukaryota; Metazoa; Chordata; Actinopteri; Beloniformes; Belonidae
Exons: 3
Source: RefSeq, a predicted model, not a curated record